AUUGAACGCUGGCGGCAGGCCUAACACAUGCAAGUCGAACGGUAACAGGAAACAGCUUGCUGUUUCGCUGACGAGUGGCGGACGGGUGAGUAAUGUCUGGGAAACUGCCUAAUGGAGGGGGAUAACUACUGGAAACGGUAGCUAAUACCGCAUAACGUCGCAAGCCCAAAGAGGGGGACCUUCGGGCCUCUUGCCAUCGGAUGUGCCCAGAUGGGAUUAGCUAGUAGGUGGGGUAACGGCUCACCUAGGCGACGAUCCCUAGCUGGUCUGAGAGGAUGACCAGCCACACUGGAACUGAGACACGGUCCAGACUCCUACGGGAGGCAGCAGUGGGGAAUAUUGCACAAUGGGCGCAAGCCUGAUGCAGCCAUGCCGCGUGUAUGAAGAAGGCCUUCGGGUUGUAAAGUACUUUCAGCGGGGAGGAAGGGAGUAAAGUUAAUACCUUUGCUCAUUGACGUUACCCGCAGAAGAAGCACCGGCUAACUCCGUG
Molecule: ribosomal RNA, 490 nt
Filed under: uncultured bacterium
Lineage: Bacteria
Description: partial 16S ribosomal RNA
Rfam family: Bacterial small subunit ribosomal RNA
Source: RNAcentral